This is a long non-coding RNA of Anolis carolinensis (green anole), 6199 nucleotides long. RefSeq lists it as uncharacterized. The record is from RefSeq and is a predicted model, not a curated record. NCBI's taxonomy places the organism in Eukaryota, Metazoa, Chordata, Lepidosauria, Squamata, Anolidae. The transcript has 3 exons.
CGGCCGUGGUGGAGGCGGGGCUUCUUCUUGGCGCCUCAGCCGUGAAUUUACCUCAGGAAACGGGGCCUCGUUUGGCGCCCAGUUGAAGAGUUGAAAGAGGAGAGAGACGCCUUUCCUUUGGGGAGUCACUUUUACCUCAGGAAAGGCUUUUCUUCCCGUCCAGAGGACCCUCUCUCUCCCACUCGGUUUUAGAAAUUUCUUUAUCGAACCUUUACCUCAGAAAAGCCUUGUGAAAUAGAAAGAAGAAAAUGCCAAUUUUAUUUAUUAAGAGAUUGUCACCUCAGACUUUACCUCAGAAAUGGCCAAGCCUUGUGAAACGGAAGGGAGAAACAAAGGCAAAACUUUUGAAAAUUAGCACAGCUUUUUCUGAAGGGACCAGCGCUGAAUUCAAGUCAAAGGGAAGAAAGGGAAGAAACAAAAGGUCGAAGAGACAGAAGACAGAAGAUGCUUGAAGACACUCUCGCAAGGACACCGCCCGCCCCCCAAAAAAGGUCAUUGUCAGGGUAAUGGGUGUCAGGCUAGGCAUUUCAUGUCUAUCUUUGCAAUAAAAAACAGGCUACCUGUGUGCUAGGCUUUUGCAUGAAGAACACGGUUCCCCUCGUGUGUGGCAUCGAAGGUUCCCACUCGGGAACGGACGGGUCCUCCCUUUGUUCUAGGCAGAUGAUGGGGGUUUUCCUAUACAAGCCGUAGGGGCCACAGCUUGGGGGGCAGCGGGGGGCCCGGCCCUGGCACCGCGGGGAGCAGCACACCUUACGGGCAUUUUAAAAGCUCCCUUAAACUUAGACAGUGGCUAGCAAUAAAAAUAUUAAUACCUUAACUCACCUACUAACCCUACUAACACCAUUCUAACUAGGGCAGGCUGGCCUUUUAAAUAGGACUGUGUUUUGCCUGCUGGCAAGAACCAAGCUGGGAGGGAAGGGGGCCUCCUGGCCCCCCAUAGAAGGGCUCCCCUAGAAGGACAUUCAAAAGGCCCGCAAGGUGUCCUGAGAGCAGCCCCUGGGGCCCUCAGUGUGCCCCCCACGGUGCCAGGGCUGGGCCCCCCGCUCUCCCCCAACCCAUGACCCCUGCCGCCUGUAUCUCGUCCGCCCAGGGCCAACGGACGCCCCCUCCCUCCCCGGGCGGAGCUUCGGCGCCACACACAAGGGGAGGCCAGCCGUGGCCGCCAGAACAUGGCCAACCUGGUUUUGGACUGCAAACAUAGGCAUGUAGGGACCCCCUUUUAUUUAUGUAAGGCCACCCACCCAGGGGACCUGGUUAAAGGGGAUCCUCUAUUCUUAAAGUAAGGCCUAUAGAGAUCUCCUAUCCAGAAACUAAGGCGGCUUGGCCUAUAGAGAUCCCCUUUUGUUAAACUAAGGUGGCCUGGCCUAUAGAGAUCUCUUGUUGUUAAACUAAGGUGGCCUGGCCUAUAGAGAUCUCUUGUUGUUAAACUAAGGUGGCCUGGCCUAUAGAGAUCUCUUGUUGUUAAACUAAGGUGGCCUGGCCUAUAGAGAUCUCCUAUUCUUUAAGGUAACGCCAGGCGAUGUGGAGAUCCCUGGUUCUUUUAACCCUUAAGGCCAACCGUGGGGAGAUCCCUGGUUCUUUUAACCCUUAAGGCCAACCGUGGGGAGAUCCCUGGUUCUUUUAACCCUUAAGGCCAACCGUGGGGAGAUCCCUGGUUCUUUUAACCCUUAAGGCCAACCGUGGGGAGAUCCCUGGUUCUUUUAACCCUUAAGGCCAACCGUGGGGAGAUCCCUGGUUCUUUUAACCCUUAAGGCCAACCGUGGGGAGAUCCCUGGUUCUUUUAACCCUUAAGGCCUGCCUGGGGAGAUAUCCUAUUCUUUUUUCAUGAAAAGUCGGGUAUAGACCUUCUCUUUUCUCUCCCGUUUCAUGUGCCUGGACUCCCGGAGGGCUCCUGCCGGACACCGUCUCCCAUCGGCCGAGAGGGAUCCUUCCUGUUUGGAAAGCAUCUGCUACACAGGUAAAAAGAAGAUUCCGGGAAGGAGAUUCCUACAGCGGAGCCCUAAAGCCAGGUGAGACGUUCCUUCCAACCUCCACGGCUGCUUUGCACACACACACAUGACACACACAUGACACACACACACACGCAUAUACAGCUGGGGGCCCUCAGGGACUCUCCCCCCAAUAGAUCGGGGACUCCCACUCCGGCAAUUGGCCAUUGGAAAUGCCUUGAAGCAGUUUGGGGCUUCCGGCCAAGCGCUCGCAAAGAGAACCCAUUCAAGGUAUACGUGGAGCCCCUUUUAUUUAUUAUUUAUUGACAGCAUUUCUAUUCCGCCCUUCUUUCUCACCCCAAAGGGGACUCAGGGCGGAUCACAUGACACAUAUAGGCAAACAUUCAGUGCCUUUUAACAUAGAACAAAGACAAACAAACAUAAGCUCCGAGCGGGUCUCGAACUCAUGACCUCCUGGUCAGAGUGAUUCAUUGCAGUUAUAAUUGCAGCUGGCUUCCUCUCCCGCCUGCGCCACAGCCCGGGCCAACCUUGAUAAAAAGGGCCUGGCACGUGGAAAACUCUAUUUGUAAGGCAAACCCUCGUUAAAGAAGGUUUGCAAUUAAUUUAAAACCAGGCUUCUGAGGGACCCGCUGCGUUUAAAGCCAAACCUAGCAGGUGGGAACCUCUCUUGUUGGAUAAAGGAGAUCCCCUCUGGUUAACGUAAGGGGAGGGACCCUCCAUUUUUAAUAGGAUGCCUGGCAGAAUCUUAACCUCAAUGCAGGCCUAUGGGGUCCAGCCUUAUUCUCAAUGACUGCAUAGCCAGGCAUGAAGGGACCCCAUAUUAUUAAUUUGAAGCCUGGUAAAAAGAGAUUUAUGUAUUUAUUUAUUUACUACAUUUAUACCCCGCCCUCUUUUCCCUUAAAGGGGACUCAGAGCGGCUUACAAGUUAUAUUUAUAUACACUAUCUCAUUAGCAUAGCACAAUAUUAGCAUUAUAUAUUACUACAUUGCACUAUACCACUAUAUAGAAAUAUUGUUAGCAAUAUUACAUUUAAAAUAUAAUAUGUAAUUAAUAUUAUUGUAUCAUUGUUAGUAUUAUAUUGCUUAAUUUAUUUAUUUAUUUAUUUAUUAGAUUUAUAUGCUGCCCUUCUCACCCCGAAGGGGACUCAGAACGGCUUAAAAAUUAAAUUUACAUACAAUAUUAUAUUAUUAGCAUAGUACAAUACUGGCAAUAAAUUACUAUAUUGUACUAUAUCAAUAUAUGGUAGUAUUAUUAGUAAUAUUACAUGCAAAAUAUAAUAUAUAAUUAAUAUUAUUAUAUUGUAUUAUUAGUAUAUCGUAUUACAAUAUAAUAUUAUGAAUAUAUGUAUAUACAAUAUGUUGUAAUUAUUAUAUAUUAAAUUUUAUAUAUAUAUAUAUAUAUAUAUAUAUAUAUAUAUAUAUACACACACACACACAGUAGAGUCUCAUUUAUCCAACAUAAACGGGCCAGCAGAAUGUUGGAUAAGCGAAUAUGUUGGAUAAUAAGGAGGGAUUAAGGAAAAGCCUAUUAAACAUCAAAUUAGUUUAUGAUUUUACAAAUUAAGCACCAAAUCAUCAUGUUAUACAACAAAUUUCACAAAAAAAGUAGUUCAAUAUGCAGUAAUGCUAUGUAGUAAUUACUGUAUUUAUGAAUUUAGUACCAAAAAAUCAUGAUGUCUUGAAAACAUUGUCUACAAAAAUGCGUUGGAUAAGCGAGUGUUGGAUAAGUGAGACUCUACUGUAUAUAAAAAUUAGAAUAGCAUGUUAUUAGGGGAGGAGCAUCUUAAUUAUUAGAUGUCAGUAUUAGUCAUUAGAUGUUAAUAUUAGUUAUUCAUAUUAGUAUCAAUAUUACAUUAAUAUACAAUAGAGCAGGGGUCCCCAAACUAAGGCCCGUGUGCGGGAUGCGGCCCAUCGAAGCCAUUUAUCCGGCCCCCACAGCACAACCCUUAUUAUUAUUAUUAUUAUUAUUAUUAUUAUUAUUAUUAUUAUUAUUAUUAUUAUUAGCAUUGAGGCUGGGUGGCCAUCUGUCAGGGGUGCUUUGCUUGUGCUUUCGGUGCACAAAGGCAGAAAGGGAUUGGACUCAAUGGCCAACCCUUCCAACCCUCAUAAUUAUUAUUAUUAUUAUUAUUAAUUAUUAUUAUUAUUGCUUGGUGGCCAACUAUAGUCUGGCCCUGCAAUGGUCUGAAGGAUCGUGAACUGGCUCCCUGUUUAAAAGGUUUGGGGACCCCUGCAAUAGAGUAUAUUAUUAUCCUAGCACAAUGUUAUUAUGUUAUAUAGUAGUAUGUAUGUUCAUAUUAUUUAUUCAUAUUAGUAUCAAUAUGACAUUAAUAUACAAUAGAGUCUAUUAUUAUCCUAGCACAAUAUUCAUAUGUUCUAUAGUAGUAUGUUGUUGCUAGGGGGAGGGGCCCCCCACUGAUGGGGAGGGCCCCCCCACUGAGAUCCCCUGUCAUUAAUGUUAGACCAGGCAUUUAACGCCUACCUUUGCAUUCAAGAGCAGGCUCCUAGGCCUUUGCAUUCAAGAGCAGUGCGCUAGGCCUUUGCGCAAGGAACACCACCCACGGCUCCCCUUGUGCGUGGCGUUGAGGCCCCACUCGGUGACGGACAGGUCCUCCCUUUGCCCUGGGCAGGUCGUGGGGGGGGGGUCUCCCUGGAUGUGCAGGGGGUCACGGCUGGGGGGAGAGCGGGGGCCCGGCCUUGGCACCCCCCUGGGGACCCGAGGGGCCGCUCUCAGCCCACGUCACGGGCAUUUUAAAACGUCCCCGGGAUGUAGUAGCUCAGAUUAAUCCCUGCACUAACCGCUAACCCUACUAACCCAGUUCUAACCCGGGCAGGCUAGGCUUUUAAAUAGGACUGUUUUUGCCUGUUGGCAAGAACCAAGUGGGAGGGGGCCUCCGGGCCUCCCGUGGGAAGAAGGGCUCCGGCCCCCCCGGCCCCCCGGCCCCUGCCCUGUGCUGGGAGCCCCCCGCCCGGGCCCCCAGAGGCCUCCCUGUGGUACCGGGCUUGGCCCCCGCUCUGCCCCCAUCCGACGGCCUAGGAAAGCCCCCCACCAUCCGCCCAGGGCCAACGGACGGCCCUCCCUCCCUCCCAGGGGCAGCCGCGUUCCUCACGCAAAGGUCUGGCGCACGGGAGCCUGUUUCUGAAUGCAAACGUGGGGCCCAGGACCCCCCCCCUUGUCUCCGUGCAGGGCCACCCCCCCAGGGACCCCCACAAAUGCCUGGUGACAGGGGAUCCUCUCCUCUUAGCAGGAGGAAAAGCCACGUGCGUAAAGCGGUGCCUUUGCUCCCGUCGUUCCCAAGAGCCCCCCAAAAGCGAGAUGCUCCCCUGGGUUCAGCCCUCCUGACCCCUGUCUUCUCCCUUGUUCCAUGUCUCCAAAAUCCCCGAGGGAGGGGCUCCUCCUGGACAAGAGCCAAGGACGGAAGGACGGACGGACGGACGGACGGAGAUCCCAGAGAGAGAGCGGAGAGCAGGACGCCUUGCCUUUUCGGAGCUGCUGAGGUCGACCCCUUUCCAACGAGGUCAGCUUUCAAGAAGAAAACUCUUCCCAAAAAAGUGUGUUCUGGUUAUUAUUCAAAGGCACAACGUUCAAUAUUUGACAGCAUUAAACAUCUAGAUUACAGGACAGUUUAUGUUACUGCAUUUUAUACACCUGACCUUGUUUUUACAAAUAAAGUACCUGUAUAAUUUUUGCCUCUCUAUAUAUAUAUUGUACUAUGCUCAGACUCAUUGUUCUGAUAUGCUGUUAUAUGGUUUAAUUGUUUAUAUUGUUUAUAUUUUUAAUGUAUGACUGUUUAUUACAUGUGACAUUGGGCUUGUUUCCCAUGUGAGCCACCCCGAGUCCUCCUGGGGGAGAUGGGAGCGGGAAUAUAAAAAUAAAGUAUUAUUUUGUAUUAUUAUUAUUAUUUAUAAUAUUUAUUAUAUAUAAUUUUCUUGCACCCCAAGUACCUCUGGCAAGUGCCAAAGAGUAUUUAACUCUGCCUACAUGGCACUAAAGUGUAUUUAUAUGUUGAUUGUUCCUAUUGAUUUUAUGUUAUGUUUUUUUUUGCUUUGUAUAAUAAGGCAUUGAAUUUUUGCCUUAAUAAUAAUAGUUUUAUGAAUGUUUUAAUGUCACUGAAUUUUGAAUUGAAUUGAAAUGUCAUUGUAAUUGUUUAUAUGUGUAUUUUCUAUUUGUAAGCCACCCUGAGUCUCCCCUUAUUGGGUGAGAAGGUUUGGGAAGAAAUACUGUCAUAAAUAAAUAAAUAAAUAUUCUGUGUC